RNAcentral lists this ribosomal RNA (274 nucleotides) under uncultured bacterium. Its description in RNAcentral is "partial 16S ribosomal RNA". It matches the Rfam family "Bacterial small subunit ribosomal RNA", at positions 523 to 796 of the family's 1533-position model. The record is from RNAcentral.
AUACGGGGGGUGCAAGCGUUAAUCGGAAUUACAGGGCGUAAAGCGCGCGUAGGCGGUUUGCUCAGUCGGAUGUGAAAGCCCAGGGCUCAACCUUGGAACUGCAUACGAUACUGGCAAACUAGAGUGUGAGAGAGGAUAGUGGAAUUUCCGGUGUAGCGGUGAAAUGCGUAGAUAUCGGAAGGAACAUCAGUGGCGAAGGCGACUGUCUGGCUCAACACUGACGCUGAGGUGCGAAAGCGUGGGUAGCAAACAGGAUUAGAAACCCUAGUAGUCC